GAUGAAGAACGUAGCGAAAUGCGAUAAGUAAUGUGAAUUGCAGAAUUCAGUGAAUCAUCGAAUCUUUGAACGCACAUUGCGCCCGCCAGUAUUCUGGCGAGCAUGCCUGUUCGAGCGUCAUUUCAACCAUCAAGCCCCAGGCUUGUGUUGGAGCCCUGCGGCUGCCGCAGCCUCCCAAAACCAGUGGCGGGCUCGCUAUCACAGCGAGUGCAGUAGUUUACUCUUCGCUCAGGGCGUGUGGCGGGUGCUAGCCGUGAAACCCCCAACUUCUCAAGGUUGACCUCGGAUCAGGUAGGAAUACCCGCUGAACUUAAGCAUAUCAAUAAGCGGAGGA
Molecule: unclassified non-coding RNA, 334 nt
Filed under: soil metagenome
Description: partial contains 5.8S ribosomal RNA, internal transcribed spacer 2, and large subunit ribosomal RNA
Rfam family: 5.8S ribosomal RNA (bases 1-120)
Source: RNAcentral